Long non-coding RNA from Selaginella moellendorffii, 459 nucleotides. RefSeq lists it as uncharacterized. The record is from RefSeq and is a predicted model, not a curated record. NCBI's taxonomy places the organism in Eukaryota, Viridiplantae, Streptophyta, Lycopodiopsida, Selaginellales, Selaginellaceae. The transcript is spliced from 3 exons.
AGAGCUCAAUGCCAGUCGAGGAGAUCAAACACGGAAGAAAUCGAGAAGAGGCUAUCGCGAAAGCUGGACGAGACAAAGAAGUUUGUCCAACUGGGAAGUAUCUCUGUGGAAAGCUCUAGAAGAACAACGAUCGGUAUCCUCUCCCGAGAGAGGACACCUUAUGCAACUCUAGAGUUUUGUACGAGGGACUGCUGCGAGUGAUCGUUGGCGAGCACGUAAAAGAAUGGAGCGUGGAGGACGUUUUACCUCUGAUGAAAAUUCUCAGCACGAAACUCUUUCUCGAGAGCUGCGAGAAAUGGUUUGCGCUGCUCUCGACAUCUUGACGCCAGAGCUGCGCAGCCAGUUUGAAGAUCAGAUGGAGUCUUUCAAGACACUCCUCCAAAAGCAUUGUCUAGCAUCAAAGUCACGAACCACAAUAAAGAUGGAAAAAGGUGUAAUGAACGGCUGAGAUUUGCUAGA